Non-coding RNA from Pelobates cultripes (western spadefoot toad), 682 nucleotides. The record is from the annotation of a GenBank genome assembly. NCBI's taxonomy places the organism in Eukaryota, Metazoa, Chordata, Amphibia, Anura, Pelobatidae.
CUCUAAAUGUACACUGGUUCAUCUGACGUUUAAAUGGAUCAGUAGCCAAUAGGAACUGGGGGCGUAGGUCAGCGAUUCCCACCAAACAAUGACGGGAAGCAUGCAACACGCCCCCCAAGGACGUAUCGGCAUCCCAUUGGUUGCUUAGUCCCAACGGACAAGUACCCUAACAGGGAAUUAACCCGUGGGGUGCCUUGUCCCAAUGGGGCUAUAAGGCAUCAGACUCGUGCAGUCAUGGGAUCUUAAAGGAAUAGAGCUAUCACUAGCAAUCUAUUCCGAGGACAAUUGUGUCCAUUAAGGUGUUGGCCGAGAGGAGAGAGUGUUUCAUAAGAAGGCAAAUAGGGCAACCCUUAAUAAACAUAAAACUGGAGUUAAGAAAAAUACUAGUCCAAAUUAUAAGUCGAUGUACAAAGGGUGUCGACAGAAUAUAAAAGGGGCACUAAACAUUGGAUAUGAAACCUAAAUCUACAUAAAGAAAAUCUUGACAAAGAUUUUAUUAAACAACAAUGUGAAAGACCUGCCUGACGGUCCAGACAGAAAGUCAAGAGAAUUUAAUUUGCAAGCCCUAUAUCGGACCCCGUACAUUUCAAAAACACCAUAAAACCUGUACAUGGGGGGUAUUGUUGUAUGUGUGAGACAUUGCUGGACACAAAUUUGAGUGUUUUAGAGCAGUAAAAGUAUA